GCGGAUGGCCGGAUGACCGCGGCGGGCAACCGUCGAGGAAAGUCCGGACUCCAUGAAGGCACGGUGCCGGGUAACGCCCGGCGGGGGCAACCCCAGGGAAAGCGCAACAGAGAACAGACCGCCCGCGCAUCUGCGCAGGUAAGGGUGAAACGGUGGGGUAAGAGCCCACCGCGGGACUGGCAACAGGACCGGCAUGGCAAGCCCCACCGGGAGCAACGCCGAAUAGGGACCGCGCGUCGCAAGACAGGGCUGCCUUUGCCCCAGCAGGUCCGGGUUGGCAGCUAGAUCCCGUCAGCAAUGGCGGGGCCAGAGGAAUGGUCAUCGAAGGGGGCGACCCCGGAACAAAAUCCGGCUUACAGGCCAUCCGCGUAU
RNAcentral lists this RNase P RNA (372 nucleotides) under Paracoccus shanxieyensis. Its description in RNAcentral is "Bacterial RNase P class A". It matches the Rfam family "Bacterial RNase P class A". From Rfam's summary of the family: Ribonuclease P (RNase P) is a ubiquitous endoribonuclease, found in archaea, bacteria and eukarya as well as chloroplasts and mitochondria. The record is from Rfam by way of RNAcentral. Lineage: Bacteria; Pseudomonadati; Pseudomonadota; Alphaproteobacteria; Rhodobacterales; Paracoccaceae.